UACGUAGGUGGCAAGCGUUGUCCGGAUUUACUGGGCGUAAAGGGCGUGCAGGCGGUUUGUUAAGUCUAGGGUGAAAGCUCCCGGCUCAACUGGGAGAGGUCCUUGGAUACUGGCAGACUUGAGGAGGGUAGAGGAGAGUGGAAUUCCAGGUGUAGCGGUGAAAUGCGUAGAUAUCUGGAGGAACACCGGUGGCGAAGGCGGCAUCCUGGACCGACACUGACGCUGAGGCGCGAAAGCUAGGGGAGCAAACGGG
Molecule: ribosomal RNA, 253 nt
Filed under: uncultured bacterium
Lineage: Bacteria
Description: partial 16S ribosomal RNA
Rfam family: Bacterial small subunit ribosomal RNA
Source: RNAcentral